CCUACGGGGGGCAGCAGUGGGGAAUAUUGGACAAUGGGGGCAACCCUGAUCCAGCCAUGCCGCGUGUGUGAAGAAGGCCCUCGGGUUGUAAAGCACUUUCAGUGAGGAAGAACGCCUGGUGGUUAAUACCCAUCAGGAAAGACAUCACUCACAGAAGAAGCACCGGCUAACUCCGUGCCAGCAGCCGCGGUAAUACGGAGGGUGCGAGCGUUAAUCGGAAUUACUGGGCGUAAAGCGCGCGUAGGUGGCUUGAUAAGCCGGUUGUGAAAGCCCCGGGCUCAACCUGGGAACGGCAUCCGGAACUGUCAAGCUAGAGUGCAGGAGAGGAAGGUAGAAUUCCCGGUGUAGCGGUGAAAUGCAUAGAGAUCGGGAGGAAUACCAGUGGCGAAGGCGGCCUUCUGGACUGACACUGACACUGAGGUGCGAAAGCGUGGGUAGCAAACAGGAUUAGAUACCCGAGUAGUC
RNAcentral lists this ribosomal RNA (465 nucleotides) under Vreelandella stevensii. RNAcentral's name for it is "partial 16S ribosomal RNA". It matches the Rfam family "Bacterial small subunit ribosomal RNA", at positions 338 to 795 of the family's 1533-position model. Lineage: Bacteria; Pseudomonadati; Pseudomonadota; Gammaproteobacteria; Oceanospirillales; Halomonadaceae. The record is from RNAcentral.